CCUACGGGUGGCAGCAGUGGGGAAUAUUGGACAAUGGGCGAAAGCCUGAUCCAGCCAUGCCGCGUGUGUGAAGAAGGCCUUCGGGUUGUAAAGCACUUUCAGUGGGGAAGAAAGCCUUGGGGCUAAUACCCUCGAGGAAGGACAUCACCCACAGAAGAAGCACCGGCUAACUCCGUGCCAGCAGCCGCGGUAAUACGGAGGGUGCGAGCGUUAAUCGGAAUUACUGGGCGUAAAGCGCGCGUAGGCGGUCUGAUAAGCCGGUUGUGAAAGCCCCGGGCUCAACCUGGGAACGGCAUCCGGAACUGUCAGGCUAGAGUGCAGGAGAGGAAGGUAGAAUUCCCGGUGUAGCGGUGAAAUGCGUAGAGAUCGGGAGGAAUACCAGUGGCGAAGGCGGCCUUCUGGACUGACACUGACGCUGAGGUGCGAAAGCGUGGGUAGCAAACAGGAUUAGAUACCCCUGUCGUC
This 465-nucleotide ribosomal RNA is filed under the name Vreelandella stevensii. RNAcentral's name for it is "partial 16S ribosomal RNA". It matches the Rfam family "Bacterial small subunit ribosomal RNA", at positions 338 to 795 of the family's 1533-position model. The record is from RNAcentral. Lineage: Bacteria; Pseudomonadati; Pseudomonadota; Gammaproteobacteria; Oceanospirillales; Halomonadaceae.